CCUCCCCCAUGAAUCCUCAUCCCUCCUCUCUCGCAAUUCUCUGAGAUAUCAGUUAAUGACCUGUUUUCCCCCAUCCAUCUUUCUCUGCCACCGUGCCCUUGAACAGUUCUUAUGUGGUUCUCAGAGGGAGCUAGUUCCCACGCCAGCGUAGGGUAGGGGAGUCACAGACUGGGGCAGCGGCUGUUCAUUUGAGGUGACCCUUUUCCCAAGAAGAAUCCAAAAUAAAAACAUUUUCGGCAGUUCUUUUACAAAUACUUAAGAUUUUCAACCUCGAUUUUAGAUAAAUGUAGUUGCGUUUUUUGUUUGUUUUUUUUUCUGCUCCAGAAACUUUACCAAAAGCCUUUUAUUAAAGGGUGUCACAGUGGGCCCGAAGUUCACCAGCUUCUACUUAAAAACAAGCCCCAGACUCAGUCUACCUGAACUCUGGAGACCAAAGUGGUUCUCUGACGGUGUAGAGGGACAGGUGCCCGUUUUAAUUCCUCGCUCUCUCCUCCCCCAAUCCCCCCACCUUUCCGCGGUCGUGACGCUGACCUCCCCAGGAGGAUUCGGAUGUCCCGUGGCCCCUGCCUUAGCUCUGCCGGGUGGACCGAGGCUGUCCUCCUCCAAUCGUGCACACAUCCCCCUACCCCCGCAACACACACACAUACACACACCUCGCCCGGCCAGAUCUCCCUCAAGCAACGCUGCUGCCUCUUGCCCAGCGCCAAACUCUGAAAGUUUGGAAAAUCCGGGACAAAAACGUAGGCGGCGGGAAUCGGCGAGAAGGACGCGAGAUAAAGAGACCACCUAGAAGGAAAUUAACCCAAUGUUCCCAUUGCGGGGGCCUCUCCUGACCCGAUUUUCUCCUUCCGGAGCGCUCCGCAGAGCACAAAUUGCAAGGGAGGGCGAGCCAAGCCAGAGCCCGAGGCGCCUGUCAAGACGCGCGCUACUUGGAAUCCACCCCCACCUCUCGCCAAGACCUCAAAGUUGGAAAGCACCUCAUCUCAGCCUCUCCGUGCAUUGGUAGGGUUACUUCUGCUUUCUGUUCUUAAGAAGUGUGCUGCUGUAUCAUACCAAAACCACUUAUUGAUUGCAAAAGAAAAAAAUGAAGUGGGUAAAAUGGAUCUGACCUUAACGAGCAAUGAAUGAAGAGUUCCUGUUGUUCUACAUCCUCGUCAGCAUUUCGUGUUGUCAGUAUUUUGGAUUUUGGCCCAUUCUCCUAGGUGUACAGUAGGUCUCAUCUUUGUUUUGGUUCGUAUAUUUUUAUUUUUUGUUUUUAUUUUUGUCUUUUGUCUUUUUCUUUUCUUUCUUUCUUUUUUUUUUUUUUUUUUUU
This is a non-coding RNA of Sus scrofa (pig), 1312 nucleotides long. The record is from RefSeq and is a predicted model, not a curated record. Lineage: Eukaryota; Metazoa; Chordata; Mammalia; Artiodactyla; Suidae.